GGAAACAGGCAUCGCUCAGUGGCAGAACAUCUGCCUUGCAUGUAGAAAGUCUCAGGUUCAAUCCCCAGCUUUUCCA
This is a non-coding RNA of Podarcis lilfordi (Lilford's wall lizard), 76 nucleotides long. The record is from the annotation of a GenBank genome assembly. Lineage: Eukaryota; Metazoa; Chordata; Lepidosauria; Squamata; Lacertidae.